Equus caballus (horse) is the source of this 5214-nucleotide non-coding RNA. Lineage: Eukaryota; Metazoa; Chordata; Mammalia; Perissodactyla; Equidae. The record is from RefSeq and is a predicted model, not a curated record.
CCAGAGGAAAGAUAUUAUAAUUAUUGGUUACCUUCCCAGGCCAAUCUGGAAAUGCCCACAUAACCUAUGUCAUAGCUGAACCUCCCAGGGUCCUCCUGGUCCUUGAACCUCUCAAGUUCUCUUCCAGCGCUGAGCAGGUCUCAUGGAUCUCUUGAAGUGUUUCGCCCUUCUCCUUCACCUCCCCUUUCCAGCUCUCUCCAACAACGAAACAAAACGAGACUCACAACUCUCGCAACUGCUAAAGGCAAACUCAGUCCAGCAAGGUGUCAGGAGGAAAGAAAUCUCCUUGAACAUAUUCCCACUGAUGUGUGUCUUCACUGAAGUUUCUCUAACCCUUCCAGAAUGACUCACACUUUUAAUUGAGAAUGUUUAAAACUCAGACAAAUCCCUAAAGGGUGGCUGCUGUUCCCAGGAGGUCACAGAAUAAAAUGAAAACACUUGGACAUAUUUUUUUUGAGGAGGGGAAGUCAAUGCAGCCAGGCCAGUGGGAACCCUUGGAUUAAAGCUUGGAGUGCCUCCUUUCCUAUAUUUUUAGACCACCAGUCUUACAAAAGCUCUUUAUUCUUUCAUGUAAAGCUGGCACCCGUGGCAGGGACAGCAGCCACUGUGGGCAAGAUCAGACCAGGAGCUGAUACACUGUUGGGUGGGUAAACCCUCUGCCCUCUGCUUUAGAGACUGAGGACUCAGGCGCGUUGCUCUUCAGGAGAAUCAGAGCCUGCGUGUCUGCAUUCUAACCCAAGGACAGUAAGGCGGAGAGAGGCACCAGAAUGCCAGUGAGAUGAUUUGAAAAUCAAAACAGUUCUGCCCCUGGACCGAAAUCCUCCAUUUGCACUAUGCCUGUAUCUUGCUUCUGUGGUCCAGCAAAGUGGGAGGCCCAGGCAUAACUAGAAGUAGUUUAUCGAUUUGCCAUAAAACAUUGCAGGCUCUGGGAUGGGAAUUUCUCAGAAUCUCUAUGAUAAGCACAUUUUUUCUGUGUAAGCAAACCCACAUAAGAAGGAGUAGGUUGCUUGUUGAAAAUGACAUUGGAAGGGGGGGAGACAAAUAUUUAAGAUCAUUAGGCCUCAGGCAUGCACACUGGCCAGAGAUGGCUUUGCCAAUGGAAUUAUAGUAAAGCCCCUAUUCCAAGUGUUUUAUAUAUAUUGACUUAAUUCUUCCAGCAAUUCUUGGGGAUACUUACUUUUAUCAUCAGUCCCAUUUCACAGGUGAAAUAAUAGAGAUACAGGUUUAAUAACUUGCACAGGUCAUGUAGCUAGUAAAUGGCAGAGUCAGGAUUUGAAGCCAGUUUUGAUGAGUUUGGACUCUUAACGAUCGUCCUGCACUCUCCUGAGAAUGCUCGGAGCCUGUAAGCUAUCACGUUCAUCUUGCACUGAGGCCAGUCUUUCCAUUGGGAGGGAAGCUCUGGCGGUUAAGACCCUUCCUCCAGGCUGCAUAUGGAAAAGCAGAGCCAGCCCUGGUCUCUGGCCUCUCCUUUCCAAGGUUAGAGAACUCCCCCUCCCCUAAUGGACAUUUUUUUUCUUUAGACACGUUAAUAUGUUAAAACUGCUGACUGUGCGGUCUUGCUGGCCUGGAAGUCCUACCUUAUCCCUCUGACAGCUCUGCAUAUCUGGCCUCCGAUGAGUAAUACUGACUCUCAAAGUUGUCAAGAGAAAAACACUUCCACAAACUUGGUGCAAAAACAAACGAAAAGAAACCCAACCAACAUGAUCCAAAAAGCACUGAAAAUGGGACUUGUAUAGAGAGAGGAAAUUUGGGUUUAUUUGAACCUAUAGGAGUUCUGGAAUUUUCUGCACUUUAUAUUCUCUGUGAACGUGGUCAACCCAGAGAACAUUUCUGGGUAAGUACCCGGACUCUGCUCCCUGUAAAUGCCCCUAACAUUUUAGAAAUUAGCUUUAGCCACUACAGGCUUAACUCAGGUACAGAGUUUAUGGAGCAAGCAGAUCUAGUCCUGAGCAGCCUUGGGAAGUACAGUCUGACCCUCUGUCAUCCAGGGACGGAUCAGAUUAUGAAGACAUUUCAAGGCUACAAACUAACAAUGCUCAGAGACUGGGUAGUUUCCAGGAGAAACCGUUCGCCUCUUUCUUCCUUUCCUAAGUAAUCACAAGAAGUCUAAUUUACCCAACCAUUCUCAGGGGUCUUUCAUUUUUAUAUUAUAUUACCGUCUGAAAAUGUUUUCAUAUGGAUGAUGGCAAUUGAGUCUCAAAACGUCCUAGAAAGGUAGGCAGGUCAGAUAUUGUUAAGCAUCAUUUUCUGAGGAGGGCACAAAAGCUUAGCAAGGUUAUAUGACUUUACCAAGGUUACUAUAAUUCAGGGUUUCUGAGUCAAGCUUAAGCAUUUUUUCUUCAGUAUCCAGAGAAUCAUCACUCUAUACAAUACCGUGCCAAUUCUGUUGAGGCCAUCAGCUUUUACACCUGACGCAUGUGUCCCUCUCACCUUUGAUCUCAAUGUUAUGUAAAUAUUCCAAUAAUUUCAGAAACAAUUCUUGACUAAUCCGUAAACAGACUGUGCUAGAUGCUUUUAUGGGAUUAAAAAACACAGGAUUUGGUUUCUGAUCUGAAGGGAUGGACAAUUUGGAUUUUAAAGAAAAGAAUUACAUGAAACUACACCCAAAAAUAGAGGUAAAAUUAAGAAUAAUAGGUCUCAUAGCAUGAGUCAAGAACAGAGCUAAGUACUUUGCAUAUAUUAUCUGAUUUAAUCCUUGGAGCAACUCUCCAAGGCAAUUGUGAUUAUCCAUCUGACAGUAGAGGAAACUAUUAAGUAACCUGCCCAAGGUCAUAGCUGGCUAACGCCAGAGCUAGGAUUCAACUGCACUUCUGCCAGACGCCCAAGUCCUGGAGAGUUUCACUAUGCCAUUCUGACUCCCUAAACAUACACAGGAGCCCAUUGUGGUAGGGGCUGAACACUUCAACGCCCAGGAAAAUGUGGACGGUGGGCAUCCCCAGAGAAAGGGAGGGCCAGGGAAGGGUGUGUGAGUUGGGACUUGAAAAAAAUGGUGAGCGUGGACUGGUGCAGAGCCAGUGGUGGUGAGGAGGACACAGGUGGGUUGGAAAAGCACGAGUAAUAGAUGGGUGAUUGGUUAGAGCUGUGUGAUGCAAAGUCAAUCUCAGAGAUCAGAUGGCUUACCUGGCUGGAGAGCUGUAGGUUAGCACGGCGUGUUCUUGGAGCUGGAUUUAUAACUGUGCUUCUUUGUUCUGAAGGGGAAUUUGUUGCUUUCACCAAUUGCCCUAGCUUCCUGGGUUCAGGUACUCUCUGGAGUGAAUGAAAAGCAAGAUUUUGCAACAUCUGUAGGAGAAGAAGGAAGGGGCUCUCCUGAAUAAGAAAGAGUGGGUUGAAUUCACCUUUUCUUAGGGCAUCAUAAAGGAGAGUUUGAAAGGCCGGUGGAGGGUGUUAUGCACACUUGUUUCACAACAGAGGGCUUUUUGCACAAGUUCUUGAAAGAGUGAUUCAAAUUUUGUACCUAUCAAAACCGUGGCCUACAGAUGUGUUUUACUUGAUCUGCAUAUUUUGGUUAGCUGGAAUGUGAUUUUCUGGACUCUGCUUUCUCUAUUAUUUCCUCUGUCUUCCAAAGCUUCCAUUGGUGCUGGGAUGUGAUGCCAGGAGCAGCAGAAAAUGUACUAGCCAGAGCCAACCUUUUGAGUUAUAGAUGAAUCCAGACUGGGGAGGCUUUAUUUCCUAGAGGACUCUGCCCCUCUCAGCCAUUCCCAAAGGGAUUCAAUUCUGAUAUAGGAUGACAGUAGGAUGGUAGAAUUGUUGGGCUUUCUGCAUACUCCUCACUAAAGAGUAACGGUUUCUCACGAGGAAAGGUGAUACUGUUGGAGACCUUGGACCUCUGGGUGAGGACUCACGCCAACUUAGAGAGGCCUAGGGUUAGAUAACCUUCCCUCUGUCUCAUGGAAGAUACGUGACCUAAGAAGAGCUAGAGUUUUGCAUUCUGUCACCUCGCUCUCCUGGAUGGUUGUGUCCAAAUCUGCCUGCCGGAUCCCCUCUCCAGUCUACUUAGCACAGGGCGUUAGGAGCCAAGACACUCAGGCCAAGAUGCCAACUGAAUGGCUGACAUCAGAAAUCAGGACUGAAUUACAACAAGGGUCCUUAUGUGAGGUAGCCCAAGGCACAGAAAGCCGGAGUCCUCAAGGAAAUGGCAAGAUUCAAAUACUGGGAGGACAUAAACAAAAAACAUCCCAUAAAAAAACAAAUAAAACAUGAUAAAUUUCCAAAAAGCUUCUCAGCCUCAUUCACAGUAAAAAUUAAAAUAAUAAAGCACCGUUUUUCGUCUCUCAGGUUGGCAAAGAUCUAAGAAGUUUGAUAAUAUCCAAUCUCAAAGAUAGUGUGGGGAGAUAGAACUCGAAUUCCCUAUAAAUGGACUGCACAUUAAAACAAACCUCUUGGAGAACUUUUCAGCACUAUCUAUGAUGCAUAUACACUUUGGCCCAGCUCUUCUAUUUUUGGGAAAUUUUCUGACAGAUAUACUCACACAGGUGCAGAAAGGUACCAGGCAAGGAACUCCAUUGCAGCAUUUUUUAUAAUAGUGAAAAACCGGAAACCAUUUAGAUGUCCAUGAAUAGGGAACAUCAUGCAGACAUUUUUAAAGAUGUCAAAAUAAUAUUAACUCAAAAGGGACAAACUUCCAGUUAUAAGACAAAUAAGUCCUGGGGAUGUAAUGUACAGCCUCGUGACCAUAGUUAACAAUGCUAUGUUGUGUAUUUGAAAAUUGGUAAAAGAGGAGAUCUUGAAAGUCCUCAUCACAUGCAAACACACAAAUUGUGACCAUGUGUGAUGAUGGACGUUAACUAAACUUAUUGUGCCAAUCAUUUCACAAUAUAUACGUAUAUCAAAUCAUUAUGUUGCAUACCUAAAACUAAUGCGAUGUUAUAUGGGAAUUAUAUCUCAGUUAAAAAAAACUAAGUCAAAAGAAGCAAAUAAUAGAUUAGUAGGUACAGUAUGAGCUUUUUUGUAUGAAACAACAAAAAGCAAAAUGAUGUAUGUAUCCAUAUACGUCUCUCUUUCUCUCUGCAUGUAUCUAUGUAUACUUCUCCAGGCAUGGACAUGUCUGAAAGGAUGCGCGCAACAGCUAAUAAUGAUUGCCACUGGGAAUGUGAGUGAGAAGACCAAUGAGAUAAGGGGGCUUUUUGUUUUACUUUGUUGACUUAUGUACAACUUGAAUGUUUUCAGUAGUGAACAAUUUAUUUCUCUUAUAAUUAAAACAAUAUUUUAAAUGAA